This 492-nucleotide ribosomal RNA is filed under the name uncultured bacterium. Its description in RNAcentral is "partial 16S ribosomal RNA". It matches the Rfam family "Bacterial small subunit ribosomal RNA", at positions 29 to 507 of the family's 1533-position model. The record is from RNAcentral.
AUUGAACGCUGGCGGCAUGCUUUACACAUGCAAGUCGAACGGUAACAGGCCUUCGGGUGCUGACGAGUGGCGAACGGGUGAGUAAUGCAUCGGAACGUACCCAGAGGUGGGGGAUAACGCAGCGAAAGCUGUGCUAAUACUGCAUGUGAUCUGAGGAUGAAAGCGGGGGACCGAGCAGCAAUGCUUGGCCUCGCGCCUUUGGAGCGGCCGAUGUCGGAUUAGCUAGUUGGUGGGGUAAAGGCCUACCAAGGCGACGAUCCGUAGCUGGUCUGAGAGGACGACCAGCCACACUGGGACUGAGACACGGCCCAGACUCCUACGGGAGGCAGCAGUGGGGAAUUUUGGACAAUGGGCGCAAGCCUGAUCCAGCAAUGCCGCGUGCGGGAAGAAGGCCUUCGGGUUGUAAACAGCUUUUGGCAGGAACGAAACGGUGUCCGCUAAUACCGGGCGCUAAUGACGGUACCUGCAGAAUAAGCACCGGCUAACUACGUG